GAAAUGCGAUAAGUAGUGUGAAUUGCAGAAUUCAGUGAAUCAUCGAAUCUUUGAACGCACAUUGCGCCCCUUGGUAUUCCAUGGGGCAUGCCUGUUCGAGCGUCAUUUGUACCUUCAAGCUUUGCUUGGUGUUGGGUGUUUGUCUCGCCUCUGCGCGCAGACUCGCCUCAAAACAAUUGGCAGCCGGCGUAUUGAUUUCGGAGCGCAGUACAUCUCGCGCUUUGCACUCAUAACGACGACGUCCAAAAAGUACAUUUUUUACACUCUUGACCUCGGAUCAGGUAGGGAUACCCGCUGAACUUAAGC
RNAcentral lists this unclassified non-coding RNA (306 nucleotides) under plant metagenome. RNAcentral's name for it is "partial contains 5.8S ribosomal RNA, internal transcribed spacer 2, and large subunit ribosomal RNA". The stretch from base 1 to 105 matches the Rfam family "5.8S ribosomal RNA", at positions 50 to 154 of the family's 154-position model. The record is from RNAcentral.